RNAcentral lists this ribosomal RNA (377 nucleotides) under uncultured eukaryote. RNAcentral's name for it is "partial 18S ribosomal RNA". It matches the Rfam family "Eukaryotic small subunit ribosomal RNA", at positions 592 to 976 of the family's 1831-position model. The record is from RNAcentral.
CAAUAGCGUAUAUUUAAGUUGCUGCAGUUAAAAAGCUCGUAGUUGGAUUUCGGGUGGGAAUGGCCGGUCCGCCGUUUCGGUGUGCACUUGCUACGCCCACCUUGCUGCCGGGGACGUGCUCUUGAGUUCACGCUCGGGACACGGAGUCGGCGAGGUUACUUUGAGUAAAUUAGAGUGUUCAAAGCAGGCCUACGCUCUGAAUACAUUAGCAUGGAAUAACACGAUAGGACUCUGGCCUAUCUUGUUGGUCUGUAGGACCGGAGUAAUGAUUAAGAGGGACAGUCGGGGGCAUUCGUAUUUCAUUGUCAGAGGUGAAAUUCUUGGAUUUAUGAAAGACGAACUACUGUGAAAGCAUUUGCCAAGGAUGUUUUCAUUAA